This 497-nucleotide ribosomal RNA is filed under the name uncultured bacterium. RNAcentral describes it as "partial 16S ribosomal RNA". It matches the Rfam family "Bacterial small subunit ribosomal RNA", at positions 28 to 507 of the family's 1533-position model. The record is from RNAcentral.
GAUGAACGCUGGCGGCGUGCCUAAUACAUGCGAGUCGAGCGAACGGACGAGAAGCUUGCUUCUCUGAUGUUAGCGGCGGACGGGUGAGUAACACGUGGAUAACCUACCUAUAAGACUGGGAUAACUUCGGGAAACCGGAGCUAAUACCGGAUAAUAUUUUGAACCGCAUGGUUCAAAAGUGAAAGACGGUCUUGCUGUCACUUAUAGAUGGAUCCGCGCUGCAUUAGCUAGUUGGUAAGGUAACGGCUUACCAAGGCAACGAUGCAUAGCCGACCUGAGAGGGUGAUCGGCCACACUGGAACUGAGACACGGUCCAGACUCCUACGGGAGGCAGCAGUAGGGAAUCUUCCGCAAUGGGCGAAAGCCUGACGGAGCAACGCCGCGUGAGUGAUUAAGGUCUUCGGAUCGUAAAACUCUGUUAUUAGGGAAGAACAUAUGUGUAAGUAACUGUGCACAUCUUGACGGUACCUAAUCAGAAAGCCACGGCUAACUACGUG